GAUGAACGCUGGCGGCGUGCCUAAUACAUGCAAGUCGAGCGAACAGAUAAGGAGCUUGCUCCUUUGACGUUAGCGGCGGACGGGUGAGUAACACGUGGGUAACCUACCUAGAAGACUGGAAUAACUCCGGGAAACCGGGGCUAAUGCAGGAUAACAUUUAGAACCGCAUGGUUCUAAAGUGAAAGAUGGUUUUGCUAUCACUUAUAGAUGGACCCGCGCCGUAUUAGCUAGUUGGUAAGGUAACGGCUUACCAAGGCAACGAUACGUAGCCGACCUGAGAGGGUGAUCGGCCACACUGGAACUGAGACACGGUCCAGACUCCUACGGGAGGCAGCAGUAGGGAAUCUUCCGCAAUGGGCGAAAGCCUGACGGAGCAACGCCGCGUGAGUGAUGAAGGUCUUCGGAUCGUAAAACUCUGUUAUUAGGGAAGAACAAAUGUGUAAGUAACUGUGCACGUCUUGACGGUACCUAAUCAGAAAGCCACGGCUAACUACGUG
This 497-nucleotide ribosomal RNA is filed under the name uncultured bacterium. RNAcentral's name for it is "partial 16S ribosomal RNA". It matches the Rfam family "Bacterial small subunit ribosomal RNA", at positions 28 to 507 of the family's 1533-position model. The record is from RNAcentral.